UUUGAAAUCUGGCGUCUUUGGCGUCCGAGUUGUAAUUUGAAGAAGGUAUCUUUGGGCCCGGCUCUUGUCUAUGUUCCUUGGAACAGGACGUCACAGAGGGUGAGAAUCCCGUGCGAUGAGAUGACCCGGGUCUGUGUAAAGUUCCUUCGACGAGUCGAGUUGUUUGGGAAUGCAGCUCUAAGUGGGUGGUAAAUUCCAUCUAAAGCUAAAUAUUGGCGAGAGACCGAUAGCGAACAAGUACAGUGAUGGAAAGAUGAAAAGAACUUUGAAAAGAGAGUGAAAAAGUACGUGAAAUUGUUGAAAGGGAAGGGCUUGAGAUCAGACUUGGUAUUUUGCAUGCUGCUCUCUCGGGGGCGGCCGCUGCGGUUUACCGGGCCAGCAUCGGUUUGGAGCGGCAGGAUAAUGGCGGAGGAAUGUGGCACGGCUUCUGCUGUGUGUUAUAGCCUCUGACGAUACUGCCAGCCUAGACCGAGGACUGCGGUUUUUAACCUAGGAUGUUGGCAUAAUGAUCUUAAGUCGCCCGUCUUGAAACACGGACCAAGGAGUCUAACGUCUAUGCGAGUGUUUGGGUGUAAAACCCGUACGCGUAAUGAAAGUGAACGAAGGUGGGGGCCCAUUAGGGUGCACCAUCGACCGAUCCUGAUGUGUUCGGAUGGAUUUGAGUAAGAGCAUAGCUGUUGGGACCCGAAAGAUGGUGAACUAUGCCUGAAUAGGUGAAGCCAGAGGAAACUCUGGUGGAGGCUCGUAGCGGUUCUGACGU
Molecule: ribosomal RNA, 760 nt
Filed under: Candida albicans
Lineage: Eukaryota; Fungi; Ascomycota; Pichiomycetes; Serinales; Debaryomycetaceae
Description: eukaryotic LSU rRNA
Rfam family: Eukaryotic large subunit ribosomal RNA
Source: RNAcentral